Molecule: non-coding RNA, 101 nt
Organism: Trichoderma gamsii
Lineage: Eukaryota; Fungi; Ascomycota; Sordariomycetes; Hypocreales; Hypocreaceae
Source: Rfam
GGGCGGAUGGUUUAGUGGUAUAAUUUUCCCUUAGCAUCAAGCAACCUUCGAGCUGCUUAACCGCAUGGGAAAGGUCCGGGGUUCGAUUCCCCGUUCGUCCA